Molecule: ribosomal RNA, 520 nt
Filed under: uncultured bacterium
Lineage: Bacteria
Description: bacterial SSU rRNA
Rfam family: Bacterial small subunit ribosomal RNA
Source: RNAcentral
AGAGUUUGAUCAUGGCUCAGGAUGAACGCUAGCGGCAGGCNUAAUACAUGCAAGUCGAACGGUAAAUAUUUAGCAAUAGAUAUGAGAGUGACGUACGGGUGCGUAACACGUAUGCAACCUACCCUUUACAGGCGGAUAGCUCGGGGAAACUCGAAUUAACCCGCCGUAAUAUAAUUGGAAGGCAUCUUUUGAUUAUUAAAUCUUUGGAGGUAAAGGAUGGGCAUGCGUCUGAUUAGUUAGUUGGCGGGGUAACGGCCCACCAAGACGAUGAUUAGUAGGGGAACUGAGAGGUUGAUCCCCCACACUGGCACUGAGAUACGGGCCAGACUCCUACGGGAGGCAGCAGUAGGGAAUAUUGGUCAAUGGAUGGAAGUCUGAACCAGCCAUGCCGCGUGCAGGAAGANUGGCCUUCUGGGUUGUAAACUGCUUUUGCCAGGGGAUAAAAGUCCCAUGCGUGGGAAAUUGAAGGUACCUGGUGAAUAAGCCACGGCUAACUACGUGCUAGCAGCCGCGGUAAUUC